Molecule: long non-coding RNA, 2002 nt
Filed under: Numida meleagris (helmeted guineafowl)
Lineage: Eukaryota; Metazoa; Chordata; Aves; Galliformes; Numididae
Description: lncRNA (ENSNMEG00000008084.1)
Source: RNAcentral
GAUGGAGACGUGGGCGCCGGUUCAGCUGCGAUCCCAGCUGGCGGCUCCAUUCAUUCUGGUCCCAACUUGUGGCUCCAUUCAUUCUGGUCCCGGCUGGUGGGCACCGUUCAUUUCCACCUGGUGGCUCCAUUUGCUCCGGUCCCACCCAGCCGGUGGCUCUGGUCCCCUGUGAUGCCGUGGUUCGGUGUGGGGGGCUCUGACGCCGCGUUCCCCGGCGCAGGAGAAGAGUUGGCGGAACAGCGUCCGCCACAACCUGUCCCUCAACGAGUGCUUCGUCAAAGCCGGCCGCAGCGACAACGGCAAAGGGCAUUUCUGGGCCAUCCACCCCGCCAACCUGGAGGACUUCGCCAAAGGGGACUACCACCGCCGCCGGGCGCGGAGACGCAUCCGCAGGAUGGCGGUGAACAUCAGCUACUGCCACCCCUACGCCCUGUACGGCCUCGGCUGCUGCUGCCCCUGCUGCCCCCCGGCGCCCGCCGGGCCCCCCCUGGGUCCCCCGGCGCUGCCUCCGCUCGUGCUGCCCCCCGGCCCCCACCGCGGGCGCUGGGGGUGGGGACGGGGGCCGGGUCCCCGCGUCCUCGCUCCCCUCUUCCCCGCUCCCCGGCCGCCGUUCCUGUAGCCCCGUGCCCGGGUCCUGGAUGGGGGACACCACCCAGGGGCAGCUCAGUGAGAGGCACCGUCCCCACGGACCCCACCGCCAGCAAAGCCCGACGUGCCAGAGCCUGGGGGGGGAGUCCCUCUGCGGCACUGUCCCUAUAUCUCCAUAGCCCCCUGUUCCGUCAUCCCCAUAUCCCCACGUCCCCACAUCCACGUGUCCCUAUAUCCCCACACCCCACGUCCUCACAUUCCCAUAUCCCGGCAUCCCUCCAUCCCUACGUCCCCACGUCCCUAUAUCCCUACAUCCCUAUGCCUCCAAAUUCCCACCCGCCCCCCCCCCCUCAACCCAGGCUCCAACCCCACACAGGGGCAGAACCCAAGCCCCCCUACGCCCAUGGUUGUUAGGGGGGGACACGGUGCCCCACGGCGGCCCCCCAUGGGACCAGACAUCCUGAGCACAUAUGGGACUUAAACCCCACAGCGGCCGCAUUUGCUGAUUAAGCCACCGCGUUUCUUCGGGAGGACCCUGCCCUAUUUAUUAGUUUUUUGCUGUUAAUUGUCCCUGACGCCCCUAAUGAAAAUCGGGGAUCCCAGGUGUUAAGUGGCAUUAGGGCGUCUCGCUAAGAAAGACGACUUGCCCGCUUAAUCCCGGGAGAUAAACCCCCAAAGCUCAUCGCGGCCUUGAGCACUAGGAAGCUUAUGACACAAAUUAAUCUCUUUGUGUUGGUGACGCCCUCCGUGUGGGGCUGGAGCUUCUGGGGGGGACCCCAUGGGGCUGGGAUGGGAUGAGGGGGGACUUUGGGGUCGGCCCCAUCAGUGCGGCCCGAUCCCGAUCCCUGCCUCAGUUUCCCCCACUCGUGGCCCCUUGGGCGCAGCACCUCUGGUGGUGCCACCGCCCCCAGCCCCACAGCCGGGGGUCCUUAACGUGGCCAUCUGUGGGGUUGGCCCCGACCCGAAUCUGGGCCAAAAAAUGGGAUUAGGGCCCCACGCUGCACCUCGGCAGCGGGAUUAGUGGGGCCGAGCCGCCAAGUCGGCACUAAGGCAUCGGUGGGGGUCCUGGGGGGGACCCCAUCAGCCCUUUGCCACUGGUGGGCGGGGGGGCGGGCACAGCCCUCCUCGGGGUUUGGGGCCAUAUGGGGUUUGGCCAUUGGUUUGUAAUGGGGUUUUGCUCCGUUUAGGGCUUUUCCUCCCUGUGGGGUUUUGCUCCGUGCGGGGUUUGGCCAUUGGUUUGCACUGGGGUUUCUCCUCCAUUCGGGGUCUUUCUUCCAUGUGGGGUUUUGUCAUUAGUUUCCAGUGGGGUUUGGCCAUUGGUUUGCAGUGGGGUUUUCCUCCAUAUGGGGUUUUCCUCCAUGUGGGGGUUUCACUACAGGUUUGCAAUGGGGUUUUGCUCCAUUUGGGGUCUUUC